AGCCCAACACAUGCAAGUCGAACGGUAACAGGAAGCAGCUUGCUGCUUCGCUGACGAGUGGCGGACGGGUGAGUAAUGUCUGGGAAACUGCCUGAUGGAGGGGGAUAACUACUGGAAACGGUAGCUAAUACCGCAUAACGUCGCAAGACCAAAGAGGGGGACCUUCGGGCCUCUUGCCAUCGGAUGUGCCCAGAUGGGAUUAGCUAGUAGGUGGGGUAACGGCUCACCUAGGCGACGAUCCCUAGCUGGUCUGAGAGGAUGACCAGCCACACUGGAACUGAGACACGGUCCAGACUCCUACGGGAGGCAGCAGUUGGGGGAAAAAAA
This 327-nucleotide ribosomal RNA is filed under the name uncultured bacterium. RNAcentral describes it as "bacterial SSU rRNA". It matches the Rfam family "Bacterial small subunit ribosomal RNA", at positions 47 to 358 of the family's 1533-position model. The record is from RNAcentral.